RNAcentral lists this non-coding RNA (134 nucleotides) under human gut metagenome. RNAcentral describes it as "glmS glucosamine-6-phosphate activated ribozyme". It matches the Rfam family "glmS glucosamine-6-phosphate activated ribozyme aptamer". From Rfam's summary of the family: This entry contains a glucosamine-6-phosphate activated ribozyme that is found in the mRNA for GlmS. GlmS is an enzyme that uses fructose-6-phosphate and glutamine to generate glucosamine-6-phosphate. The record is from RNAcentral.
UAUAUUCAAGCGCCAGAACACUUUGAUCUUUGUGUUGACGAGGUCUAGAGUUAUCGAUUUUUCGGCGGAUGCUCUAGUGGAUUGCUUAAUCCAUAGUAUUAAACAAAAAUUAGCAGUAAUGCUAUAACAGACAU